AAGCAGUAAUGAAAUUCCACUUCAUUGGUCCAUAUUUCUGAAUCGCAUGGUUUUCUUGGAUAUUCUGAUACU
Molecule: small nucleolar RNA, 72 nt
Filed under: Castor canadensis (American beaver)
Lineage: Eukaryota; Metazoa; Chordata; Mammalia; Rodentia; Castoridae
Description: Small nucleolar RNA SNORD18 (ENSCCNG00000014276.1)
Rfam family: Small nucleolar RNA SNORD18
About the family: U18 is a member of the C/D class of snoRNA which contain the C (UGAUGA) and D (CUGA) box motifs. It is encoded in introns of ribosomal protein L1 in Xenopus and human, and in introns of elongation factor 1 beta in yeast. Related snoRNAs in Arabidopsis and rice have been named R63 and Z106 respectively.
Source: Rfam by way of RNAcentral